Molecule: long non-coding RNA, 279 nt
Organism: Tyto alba (common barn owl)
Lineage: Eukaryota; Metazoa; Chordata; Aves; Strigiformes; Tytonidae
Exons: 3
Source: RefSeq, a predicted model, not a curated record
AGAUCCUUGUUGUAGGUGCUUGGGAGCCCUUUGAGAACCAUGAGAAUAGCAGCCAACUGCAGAGAGAAACAGGCUCACCCGUCCAAACACUCGUCCAGCUUUGCUGCGGAUCAGUUCCAGGCUGUCGGGAUUCUUCUUCUGAGGCAUCAGGCUGCUGCCAGUGCUGAAGGAAAGGAAGCCCUGCUGCUGCCCUGACUGCGGUCAAAGAACAAGCCUAGAUGUCUCCUGCCCCUGCAAGGCCCAGGCUGUGGAUAUGGAAAAGGACUUACAUGGCAGCAC